UCUUCUAUUAGUCUCUUUCUUUCAAACUCCUCGUGGGUUUGAAGAGAGUGCUAUGAAUUAUGCUUGUGAUAUUCUGGUUGUUGUAAGAAAAUAUUUUGCUUUUGAAGCAGAGGAAAGUGGAAAAUGCUGCCAUGCUGCGCCAAGAGCUAUAUCUGCAUCUGAUCCACAAAUCCUUUUUUAGUAGUUUGUACUCAAUGCUGAGUUUUCUUGUGUGUUUGAACCAUAUCUUGCUAGUAUAAAGCAUGUCAAUCCAAAUCAUGGCAAGCAUCUAGUGCCAAAUCUUCGACUUAGCGACUGCGGCGGGAUUUGAUUGCCUGGAUCUCCCACCUUUCCAGUACCCAAGUAAGUUGUUCAUGCGUGAAGAGUUUGGUCCACAUGGACCAAGAAGAGUUUGGUCCAUCAACCUACUUGAUUGUUGGGCAGUGUAUUUGGACAUUUUCUUUCCCAUCUUCGAGACAUAGACUAUGUGUGAGAUUCCACGUUAGUUGGAGAGGAGAACGACAUAAACUAUAUGUGUGAGAUUCCACGUUAAAAUCCUUACAAAGGUGUAAAAUUUUUUCCCUAUCAAAUGCAUUUUAAAAAUCUUGUAGGAAGAAAAGCUUAAAAAAAACAAUAUUUGCUAGUAGUGGAUUUCGAGCUAUAAUAUAUAUAUUAAAACUAUAUUCGAUGAGGUCACCCUGAUUUUAUCUUUGAGAUUGGAUAGGGAUACCCAUUAAUUGAAGCAGGUGGGGCCACAGAGGAUGUGAGAAUGUGAGAAAUACCUAUCCAUCCCUACGCAGGAAGGCGGCAGUUCCAUUGCACUGAGCUGCCCAUGUCCAAUAAUGUUUGUGAAGGAUAAUGGCACGUGAAGAUUGGAGCCUAGAAAGAAGAACAUCUCCAACUUUUUGGUAUCAAUUCAUUCCAAGCGUGCAACUUUUCUGGAUACGGAUGGACCUAUCUAUCGUGUUGUGCUCAUCUAUUUUUUUUGCUUCAAUCCAAAUCCAAACUUUUAUAUCUAUUUAGUUUCUGAAUUUUCGAUCUUGUAUUUAUUAAAAAGAAUGGUAAGUUCGAUUGUUUGUAGUUCUGUAAGUUUAUUAACUAAA
Long non-coding RNA from Cucurbita maxima (winter squash), 1082 nucleotides. RefSeq lists it as uncharacterized. The record is from RefSeq and is a predicted model, not a curated record. The transcript has 3 exons. NCBI's taxonomy places the organism in Eukaryota, Viridiplantae, Streptophyta, Magnoliopsida, Cucurbitales, Cucurbitaceae.